RNAcentral lists this transfer RNA (72 nucleotides) under Operophtera brumata (winter moth). It matches the Rfam family "tRNA". From Rfam's summary of the family: Transfer RNA (tRNA) molecules are approximately 80 nucleotides in length. Their secondary structure includes four short double-helical elements and three loops (D, anti-codon, and T loops). Further hydrogen bonds mediate the characteristic L-shaped molecular structure. tRNAs have two regions of fundamental functional importance: the anti-codon, which is responsible for specific mRNA codon recognition, and the 3' end, to which the tRNAs corresponding amino acid is attached (by aminoacyl-tRNA synthetases). tRNAs cope with the degeneracy of the genetic code in two manners: having more than one tRNA (with a specific anti-codon) for a particular amino acid; and 'wobble' base-pairing, i.e. permitting non-standard base-pairing at the 3rd anti-codon position. Lineage: Eukaryota; Metazoa; Arthropoda; Insecta; Lepidoptera; Geometridae. The record is from Rfam by way of RNAcentral.
CGUUCCAUGGCCGAAUAGUUCAAGGCAUCGCAGAUAGAGGCGAAGAUGCGGGUUUGAAUCCCGCUGCAACGG